GGUUUUGCCUUUAGCCUCAAAUAUGGAAAAUCAGUAGGUGAUAAAUCACAACUCACCUGCUCAAACUUUCAUGGAAGAACACUUGACAAUGCAACAGGCUUUUUGGAUUCUUUUUUGAUCCUGGAGAACAAAAUAUCAUGCGCGACUUACAUGAAGAGUGCAGACAGGACCUACUAUCCAAGGAGAAGGCUCAAUGCUUGCCAACAACUUGGAAUGACUUUGGCCUAUUAGAGUUCCAUAAGAUUGAUGGGAGACCUCUGAGCAGCUACAAACUGACUGACAUGGCUUGAAUUUUGAAAGAACUAUGAAGGCAAGCUGUGGGAAAGUAUACUUGAGAAAUUGUUAAAGUCUCCUUGAACAGAACACACGUUUCAAUCCAUUUUAAAGUCUAAAGACAGAACUGAAAAAACAUUCAUUAUCUCAGAUCUCUGCAAGUGAAGAACUGAAACAACUGAGCACCGUGACAAAUAUUUCAAAACUUUCCCAAUCAUCAUAUCAACCAGCUCCCUUUCAGAAUAUUAAGAUGGAUUUUGACAAGAAAAAUGAUUAAAAACACAAUCUUAUUUCCAUGGGAUUGGCCAUUGAUUCUUUUUAGUGAUUCAAAUUUAAUUUGUCACCCAUUUCUUUUUUCAUGUAAAAUAUAGUGCCAAGACAUUCAGAAUUGAUGUAUUUCCAGGAAACAUCCUGAUGGACAUAUAUCAUUAAAUUAAAAUGUGGUACAUUGGUGUUUAUAAAUCAUUUUAGUUCUAAUGUAAAUGCAAAUUACUCAUAUGUGGAAAAUCUGUAGGAUAAUCAUAGCCAUUUCUUCUAAUGACUAUCAG
This is a long non-coding RNA of Mauremys mutica (yellowpond turtle), 821 nucleotides long. RefSeq lists it as uncharacterized. The record is from RefSeq and is a predicted model, not a curated record. Lineage: Eukaryota; Metazoa; Chordata; Testudines; Geoemydidae. The transcript has 3 exons.